This 424-nucleotide ribosomal RNA is filed under the name uncultured prokaryote. RNAcentral describes it as "bacterial SSU rRNA". It matches the Rfam family "Bacterial small subunit ribosomal RNA", at positions 355 to 796 of the family's 1533-position model. The record is from RNAcentral.
UGGGGAAUAUUGGACAAUGGGCGCAAGCCUGAUCCAGCCAUGCCGCGUGAGUGACGAAGGCCUUAGGGUUGUAAAACUCUUUCAUCGGUGACGAUAAUGACGGUAGCCGAAGAAGAAGCCCCGGCUAACUCCGUGCCAGCAGCCGCGGUAAUACGGAGGGGGCUAGCGUUGUUCGGAAUCACUGGGCGUAAAGCGCACGUAGGCGGACUGGUCAGUCAGGGGUGAAAUCCCGAGGCUCAACCUCGGAACUGCCUCUGAUACUGCUAGUCUCGAGUCCGGGAGAGGUGAGUGGAAUUCCUAGUGUAGAGGUGAAAUUCGUAGAUAUUAGGAAGAACACCAGUGGCGAAGGCGGCUCACUGGCCCGGUACUGACGCUGAGGUGCGAAAGCGUGGGGAGCAAACAGGAUUAGAUACCCCCGUAGUCC